ACGUUUACGCUGACUCCUCCAGUGCCUCAUCAAUGAAGUAAGCAGGCAGCUACGUUCUGGAUGGCUAGCAUGUACCGAAGGCACAAAACCUCCAGAGUUGGCAGAGUUAAGUCCUGGCGUGCCCGAGGCUAUCCAGGGGAACACGCGGGACAGACAGCACCCUCAGCCUGUCCCCAUGACCCUCUGCUCCAGUCUGAGGGGCAGGACACCAUGAGACCUCUCAGACACAGAGUCCACCCUCGACAUGACCCGGAUGAAAGGCAGGAGUGUGUGCCCUGCUUUUGCCCUCGAAGCUCGCUGAAGGGGACCCAUCUCUGCAAGCCCACAGCCCUACCUGCAGCAUCCACAGCCUCAGAGAGCAGCGGGGCCCCUUACCCCUGAACCCCCUCCAAGAGCAUCAGGACAACAAGCCUUGAGCUGUGGAGACAAGAGAAUCAGUAUCCCUGGCCCAGGGAGGAUUCCAGGAGAGGACACGGGCAGGAGCCCUGGCCCAGAGCCAGAACCAAGAGUCCAGCCAGCGAAACUGGAACUAGGGUCCCCGGCACCCAGGACUCUGCGAGCAUCCCCCAACAGCAAG
Homo sapiens (human) is the source of this 577-nucleotide long non-coding RNA. Ensembl annotates it as long intergenic non-protein coding RNA 661. NCBI's taxonomy places the organism in Eukaryota, Metazoa, Chordata, Mammalia, Primates, Hominidae. The record is from Ensembl.